RNAcentral lists this transfer RNA (77 nucleotides) under Planctomycetota bacterium. RNAcentral describes it as "Planctomycetes bacterium tRNA-Cys". It matches the Rfam family "tRNA". From Rfam's summary of the family: Transfer RNA (tRNA) molecules are approximately 80 nucleotides in length. The record is from RNAcentral. Lineage: Bacteria; Pseudomonadati; Planctomycetota.
GGUGACGUGCCCGAGUGGCCUAAGGGAACGGAUUGCAAAUCCGUGAUUCGCCGGUUCGAAUCCGGCCGUCACCUCCA